CGCUGGGGAAGAACACGGCAAACACGAACCAUUGUGUGCCUGCUUUCCUCAUUUAACCAUCCCUGUCAGUUUAUCCUAAGUGAUAUUUCCAAUUUGCUUUUCCUGCAGUUGCUUCGAGAAUACAAAUGUGACAAUUAAUCCUUUCCAAGCACAUCAUAAUGUCAGAUGAUCAUCACACA
This 179-nucleotide long non-coding RNA is filed under the name Fukomys damarensis (Damara mole-rat). RNAcentral describes it as "lncRNA (ENSFDAG00000023309.1)". Lineage: Eukaryota; Metazoa; Chordata; Mammalia; Rodentia; Bathyergidae. The record is from RNAcentral.